RNAcentral lists this ribosomal RNA (473 nucleotides) under uncultured organism. RNAcentral's name for it is "partial 16S ribosomal RNA". It matches the Rfam family "Bacterial small subunit ribosomal RNA", at positions 333 to 797 of the family's 1533-position model. The record is from RNAcentral.
UAACUCCUGCGGGAGGCAGCAGUGGGGAAUAUUGCACAAUGGGCGCAAGCCUGAUGCAGCCAUGCCGCGUGUAUGAAGAAGGCCUUCGGGUUGUAAAGUACUUUCAGCGGGGAGGAAGGCGAUAAGGUUAAUAACCUUGUUGAUUGACGUUACCCGCAGAAGAAGCACCGGCUAACUCCGUGCCAGCAGCCGCGGUAAUACGGAGGGUGCAAGCGUUAAUCGGAAUUACUGGGCGUAAAGCGCACGCAGGCGGUCUGUCAAGUCGGAUGUGAAAUCCCCGGGCUCAACCUGGGAACUGCAUUCGAAACUGGCAGGCUAGAGUCUUGUAGAGGGGGGUAGAAUUCCAGGGGUAGCGGUGAAAUGCGUAGAGAUCUGGAGGAAUACCGGUGGCGAAGGCGGCCCCCUGGACAAAGACUGACGCUCAGGUGCGAAAGCGUGGGGAGCAAACAGGAUUAGAAACCCUAGUAGUCCCA